GUCUUAGUAGUUUACAUAAAACAUUGGUCUUGUAAAUCAAAAAUAAAAAUUUCUUUUUCUAAGACU
Molecule: transfer RNA, 66 nt
Filed under: Cerapanorpa dubia
Lineage: Eukaryota; Metazoa; Arthropoda; Insecta; Mecoptera; Panorpidae
Also listed under: 1 other name
Description: tRNA-Thr
Rfam family: tRNA
About the family: Transfer RNA (tRNA) molecules are approximately 80 nucleotides in length. Their secondary structure includes four short double-helical elements and three loops (D, anti-codon, and T loops). Further hydrogen bonds mediate the characteristic L-shaped molecular structure. tRNAs have two regions of fundamental functional importance: the anti-codon, which is responsible for specific mRNA codon recognition, and the 3' end, to which the tRNAs corresponding amino acid is attached (by aminoacyl-tRNA synthetases). tRNAs cope with the degeneracy of the genetic code in two manners: having more than one tRNA (with a specific anti-codon) for a particular amino acid; and 'wobble' base-pairing, i.e. permitting non-standard base-pairing at the 3rd anti-codon position.
Source: RNAcentral